This 471-nucleotide ribosomal RNA is filed under the name uncultured Planctomycetaceae bacterium. Its description in RNAcentral is "bacterial SSU rRNA". It matches the Rfam family "Bacterial small subunit ribosomal RNA", at positions 30 to 505 of the family's 1533-position model. The record is from RNAcentral. Lineage: Bacteria; Pseudomonadati; Planctomycetota; Planctomycetia; Planctomycetales; Planctomycetaceae.
UGAACGUUGGCGGCGUGGAUUAGGCAUGCAAGUCGCACGAGACACCAAUUAGCUUGCUAAGAGGUAGACAGUGGCGCAAGGGAGAGUAACGCGUGGUUACUUGCCCUCGAGACCGGGAUAGUGUCGGGAAACUGGCAGUAAUACCGGAUAACAUCUUCGGAUCAAAUGGUGUGAUUCCGCUCGAGGAUAGGACCGCGUACUAUUAGCUUGUUGGUGAGGUAACGGCUCACCAAGGCUGCGAUGGUUACCGGGUGUGAGAGCAUGGCCCGGCUCACUGGGACUGAGACACUGCCCAGACACCUACGGGUGGCUGCAGUCGAGAAUCUUCGGCAAUGGACGAAAGUCUGACCGAGCGACGCCGCGUGCGGGAUGAAGGCCCUCGGGUUGUAAACCGCUGUCAGUAGUUAGGAAAUCCAUGGGGGUUAUCCCUCAUGGUUGACCGAUCUUCAGAGGAAGGACGGGCUAAGUUCG